Pipistrellus kuhlii (Kuhl's pipistrelle) is the source of this 202-nucleotide small nucleolar RNA. RefSeq annotates it as small nucleolar RNA SNORA74. NCBI's taxonomy places the organism in Eukaryota, Metazoa, Chordata, Mammalia, Chiroptera, Vespertilionidae. The transcript has a single exon. The record is from RefSeq and is a predicted model, not a curated record.
UCCAGCAGUGGUAGCUCUCCAGGCGGCAUCAUGCCUGUGAUGGUGUUGCACUGCUGGGAGAGGAAUGCCCUGUCUUCUUCCUCCAGUUGCUCUCUGCACUGAUCUGGUGACAUGGGGCAUUAGUGCAAGGCAGAACUGUGCUUCCAUGAGAGGGAGCUAAGUACAACUUUGGCUGCUUAGGUCUAGAGUGGGAGCAAAUACA